This 1291-nucleotide ribosomal RNA is filed under the name Proctoeces cf. major SI-2021. RNAcentral describes it as "SSU rRNA". It matches the Rfam family "Eukaryotic small subunit ribosomal RNA", at positions 445 to 1612 of the family's 1831-position model. Lineage: Eukaryota; Metazoa; Platyhelminthes; Trematoda; Strigeidida; Fellodistomidae. The record is from RNAcentral.
CCACUCCCGGAACGGGGAGGUAGUGACGAAAAAUAUGAAUACGGGACUCAUAUGAGGCUCCGUAAUUCGAAUGAGUACAAUUUAAAUCCUUUAACGAGGACCUACUGGAGGGCAAGUCUGGUGCCAGCAGCCGCGGUAACUCCAGCUUCAGAAGCGUAUAUUAAAGUUGUUGCAGUUAAAAAGCUCGUAGUUGGAUCUGGGUGGCAUGGCUACAUGCUGUUGCUUUGGCCUGUAUUUGGCACACGUCAAGUGCAGAUCAUGCGCGGUGUAGUGGUUGUGCAGCCUUUCUGUCGUGUCUGUGAUUGCGGGUGCAUUCGAGUGCAAAUGGGACUCGUUUGCAUGCUUCUGGAUGCCUUUAAUUGGGUGUCCGGAGCGGACGACACGUUUACUUUGAACAAAUUUGAGUGCUCAAAGCAGGCCAUAGUGCCUGAAAAUUCUUGCAUGGAAUAAUAAAAUAGGACUUCGGUUCUAUUUUGUUGGUUUUCGGAUCCGAAGUAAUGGUUAAGAGGGACAGACGGGGGCAUUUGUAUGGCGGUGUUAGAGGUGAAAUUCUUGGAUCGCCGCCAGACAAACUACAGCGAAAGCAUUUGCCAAGGAUGUUUUCAUUGAUCUGGAGCGAAAGUCAGAGGUUCGAAGACGAUCAGAUACCGUCCUAGUUCUGACCAUAAACGAUGCCAACUGACAAUCCGUGGAGGUUCUAUUGCUGACCCUGCGGGCAGUCCCCGGGAAACCCUUAAGUCUUUGGGCUCCGGGGGAAGUAUGGUUGCAAAGCUGAAACUUAAAGGAAUUGACGGAAGGGCACCACCAGGAGUGGAGCCUGCGGCUUAAUUCGACUCAACACGGGAAAACUUACCCGGCCCGGACACUGUGAGGAUUGACAGAUUGAUAGCUCUUUCUUGAUUCGGUGGUUGGUGGUGCAUGGCCGUUCUUAGUUGGUGGAGCGAUUUGUCUGGUUAAUUCCGAUAACGAACGAGACUUUGGCCUGCUAAUUAGUAUGCAUGUCCUCUGUGCUGAUGUAGAUGCCAGUGGUUGUUGCCUCUUCGGGGGUGACGUCGCUGUUCAUCGAUCAGUACGGUGCAUGUGUUUACUUCUUAGAGGGACAAGCGGCGCAAGUCGCACGAAAUUGAGCAAUAACAGGUCUGUGAUGCCCUUAGAUGUCCGGGGCCGCACGUGCGCUACAAUGACGGUCUCAGCGAGUUUGGAAUCCUGCCCUGAGAAGGUUGGGCAAACUGAAACAUGACCGUCGUGACUGGGAUCGGGGCUUGAAAUUAUUCCCCGUGAACGAGGAAUU